UGAUGCGAUCAUACCAGCACUAAUGCACUUGAUCCUAUCAGAACACCACAGUUAAGCGUGUUUGGGCGAGAGUAGUACUAGGACGGGUGACCUCCAGGAAAGUCCUCGUGUUACAUAAC
Arabidopsis thaliana (thale cress) is the source of this 119-nucleotide ribosomal RNA. The record is from Rfam. NCBI's taxonomy places the organism in Eukaryota, Viridiplantae, Streptophyta, Magnoliopsida, Brassicales, Brassicaceae.